GGGUUGUGAGGUUAAGCGACUAAGCGUACACGGUGGAUGCCCUGGCAGUCAGAGGCGAUGAAGGACGUGCUAAUCUGCGAAAAGCGCCGGCGAGGUGAUAUGAACCUUUGACCCGGCGAUGUCCGAAUGGGGAAACCCAGUGUGUUCCGACACACUAUCGUUAACUGAAUACAUAGGUUAACGAGGCGAACCGGGGGAACUGAAACAUCUAAGUACCCCGAGGAAAAGAAAUCAACCGAGAUUCCCCCAGUAGCGGCGAGCGAACGGGGAGCAGCCCAGAGUCUGAAUCAGCUUGUGUGUUAGUGGAAGCGUCUGGAAAGUCGCACGGUACAGGGUGACAGUCCCGUACACGAAAGCACACAGGCUGUGAACUCGAAGAGUAGGGCGGGACACGUGGUAUCCUGUCUGAAUAUGGGGGGACCAUCCUCCAAGGCUAAAUACUCCUGACUGACCGAUAGUGAACCAGUACCGUGAGGGAAAGGCGAAAAGAACCCCGGCGAGGGGAGUGAAAAAGAACCUGAAACCGUGUACGUACAAGCAGUGGGAGCCUCUUUUAUGGGGUGACUGCGUACCUUUUGUAUAAUGGGUCAGCGACUUAUAUUCUGUAGCAAGGUUAACCGUAUAGGGGAGCCGAAGGGAAACCGAGUCUUAACUGGGCGUUAAGUUGCAGGGUAUAGACCCGAAACCCGGUGAUCUAGCCAUGGGCAGGUUGAAGGUUGGGUAACACUAACUGGAGGACCGAACCGACUAAUGUUGAAAAAUUAGCGGAUGACUUGUGGCUGGGGGUGAAAGGCCAAUCAAACCGGGAGAUAGCUGGUUCUCCCCGAAAGCUAUUUAGGUAGCGCCUCGUGAACUCAUCUUCGGGGGUAGAGCACUGUUUCGGCUAGGGGGCCAUCCCGGCUUACCAACCCGAUGCAAACUACGAAUACCGAAGAAUGUUAUCACGGGAGACACACGGCGGGUGCUAACGUCCGUCGUGAAGAGGGAAACAACCCAGACCGCCAGCUAAGGUCCCAAAGUCAUGGUUAAGUGGGAAACGAUGUGGGAAGGCACAGACAGCCAGGAUGUUGGCUUAGAAGCAGCCAUCAUUUAAAGAAAGCGUAAUAGCUCACUGGUCGAGUCGGCCUGCGCGGAAGAUGUAACGGGGCUAAACCAUGCACCGAAGCUGCGGCAGCGACGCUUAUGCGUUGUUGGGUAGGGGAGCGUUCUGUAAGCCGUUGAAGGUGUCCUGUGAGGGGUGCUGGAGGUAUCAGAAGUGCGAAUGCUGACAUAAGUAACGAUAAAGCGGGUGAAAAGCCCGCUCGCCGGAAGACCAAGGGUUCCUGUCCAACGUUAAUCGGGGCAGGGUGAGUCGACCCCUAAGGCGAGGCCGAAAGGCGUAGUCGAUGGGAAACAGGUUAAUAUUCCUGUACUUGGUGUUACUGCGAAGGGGGGACGGAGAAGGCUAUGUUAGCCGGGCGACGGUUGUCCCGGUUUAAGCAUGUAGGCGGAGGUUCCAGGUAAAUCCGGUUCCUUAUUAACGCUGAGGUGUGAUGACGAGGCACUACGGUGCUGAAGUAACAAAUGCCCUGCUUCCAGGAAAAGCCUCUAAGCAUCAGGUAACAUCAAAUCGUACCCCAAACCGACACAGGUGGUCAGGUAGAGAAUACCAAGGCGCUUGAGAGAACUCGGGUGAAGGAACUAGGCAAAAUGGUGCCGUAACUUCGGGAGAAGGCACGCUGAUAUGUAGGUGAAGCCCCUGCGGGUGGAGCUGAAAUCAGUCGAAGAUACCAGCUGGCUGCAACUGUUUAUUAAAAACACAGCACUGUGCAAACACGAAAGUGGACGUAUACGGUGUGACGCCUGCCCGGUGCCGGAAGGUUAAUUGAUGGGGUUAGCGGCAACGCGAAGCUCUUGAUCGAAGCCCCGGUAAACGGCGGCCGUAACUAUAACGGUCCUAAGGUAGCGAAAUUCCUUGUCGGGUAAGUUCCGACCUGCACGAAUGGCGUAAUGAUGGCCAGGCUGUCUCCACCCGAGACUCAGUGAAAUUGAACUCGCUGUGAAGAUGCAGUGUACCCGCGGCAAGACGGAAAGACCCCGUGAACCUUUACUAUAGCUUGACACUGAACACUGGUCCUUGAUGUGUAGGAUAGGUGGGAGGCUUUGAAGCGUGGACGCCAGUCUGCGUGGAGCCAACCUUGAAAUACCACCCUUUAAUGGCUGGUGUUCUAACGUAGACCCGU
This 2222-nucleotide ribosomal RNA is filed under the name Enterobacter ludwigii. Its description in RNAcentral is "bacterial LSU rRNA". It matches the Rfam family "Bacterial large subunit ribosomal RNA", at positions 1 to 2236 of the family's 2925-position model. Lineage: Bacteria; Pseudomonadati; Pseudomonadota; Gammaproteobacteria; Enterobacterales; Enterobacteriaceae. The record is from RNAcentral.